AUUGAACGCUGGCGGCAUGCUUUACACAUGCAAGUCGAACGGAAACAGGGUGCUUGCACCGCUGACGAGUGGCGAACGGGUGAGUAAUGCGUCGGAACGUGCCGAGUAGUGGGGGAUAACGCAGCGAAAGUUGUGCUAAUACCGCAUACGUACUGAGGUAGAAAGUGGGGGACCUUCGGGCCUCACGCUAUUCGAGCGGCCGACGUCUGAUUAGCUAGUAGGUGAGGUAAAGGCUCACCUAGGCGACGAUCAGUAACGGGUCUGAGAGGAUGAGCCGCCACAGUGGGACUGAGAGACGGCCCAGAAUCCUACGGGGGGCAGCAGUGGGGAAUUUUGGACAAGGGGCGAAAGCCUGAUCCAGCCAUGCCGCGUGUCUGAGGAAGGCCUUCGGGUUGUAAAGGACUUUUGUCAGGGAGGAAAUCCCUAGUGCUAAUAACACUGGGGGAUGACAGUACCUGAAGAAUAAGCACCGGCUAACUACGUGCCAGCCGCCGCCGUAA
Molecule: ribosomal RNA, 500 nt
Filed under: uncultured bacterium
Lineage: Bacteria
Description: partial 16S ribosomal RNA
Rfam family: Bacterial small subunit ribosomal RNA
Source: RNAcentral